AAAAGCGGUUGAUCCCAAGUUCUUCCACCAUUGAAUUCUUCACAGGUUCUCUAAAGAUUAAUCUUUUCUCAAUCCUCCAACAGAGCUAAACCAGAUUGAACAUGCGCCGAUCUGAUUCAACUGAAACUCACUAAUAAAGCAUGCGUCUACUAGUUUAAUCAAUACCCACUUUGUUCCAUGCGUAUACUCCAUGGGAAUGCUUACCUCCUCUCCCUUGAAUCAUGCGCCCAAGAAAUUAAUUAGAACAAUGCGAACUAACUAAGAAACCAAAGUUUAAGAUAAGGAAGACUCUCAAUCAUGCGUUCAAGUACAACCUCUCACAAAAACCAGUUUUCCAGGAGAUUAGACAAUAAAAACAACUGCUAUAGAGAAUUAAAAAUCGAAACUUUUAUUGGAACAAAACCUCAAAACUCAAUGGGGAAUUACAAAAGAAUCAACAAAAAAGGUUUAGCCUUCCCUGCGGAGGCAAAACAAAAGAAUUACUAAGAAGAAAAUAAACUAAGAAAACCCUAUGAAGCUCUCCUUUUCUCCUUAAUGCUUGUGUCCUUUUAUAGGCUUUUCUGCUCCAAAGAUCUUGGGAAAAUAUUGCAGUUUAGAUUUUGUAAACAGUUUUACUUUCCAUAAUUCUUUUUAUUUUGCAGAAGAUUUGCUUCCAAUUCUGUUUUUGGAAUCUUGUAACUUUUAUUUUCUCUUUCUUCUCCUCAGAAUAUUUUUUUCUGUUUUGGUUCAAGAAGCAACUUGGACUUUUGCAUAUUUGGCCCAUUCACAAAGGUAGAU
This 777-nucleotide long non-coding RNA is filed under the name Phaseolus vulgaris (common bean). RNAcentral's name for it is "long non-coding RNA (PVUL_LNC001205)". The record is from RNAcentral. Lineage: Eukaryota; Viridiplantae; Streptophyta; Magnoliopsida; Fabales; Fabaceae.